RNAcentral lists this ribosomal RNA (252 nucleotides) under uncultured bacterium. RNAcentral describes it as "partial 16S ribosomal RNA". It matches the Rfam family "Bacterial small subunit ribosomal RNA", at positions 524 to 776 of the family's 1533-position model. The record is from RNAcentral.
UACGAAGGGGGCUAGCGUUGUUCGGAAUUACUGGGCGUAAAGCGCGCGCAGGCGGUUAUGUAAGUCUGAUGUUAAAGCCCGGGGCUCAACCUCGGUCCGCAUUGGAAACUGCGUAGCUUGAGUGCAGAAGAGGAAAGUGGUAUUCCACGUGUAGCGGUGAAAUGCGUAGAGAUGUGGAGGAACACCAGUGGCGAAAGCGGCUUCCUGGUCCAGCACCGACGUUCAGGCACGAAAGCGUGGGGAGCAAACAGG